RNAcentral lists this ribosomal RNA (206 nucleotides) under uncultured bacterium. Its description in RNAcentral is "partial 16S ribosomal RNA". It matches the Rfam family "Bacterial small subunit ribosomal RNA", at positions 568 to 774 of the family's 1533-position model. The record is from RNAcentral.
CGCGCAGGCGGUCGUUCAAGUCGAGUGUGAAAGCCCCCGGCUCAACUGGGGAGGGUCACUCGAUACUGAUCGACUCGAAGGCAGGAGAGGGAAGUGGAAUUCCCGGUGUAGUGGUGAAAUGCGUAGAUAUCGGGAGGAACACCAGUGGCGAAGGCGACUUCCUGGCCUGUUCUUGACGCUGAGGCGCGAAAGCUAGGGAGCAAACG